Molecule: ribosomal RNA, 117 nt
Filed under: Oscillospiraceae bacterium
Lineage: Bacteria; Bacillati; Bacillota; Clostridia; Eubacteriales; Oscillospiraceae
Source: RNAcentral
GUUGGUGCUGACGACGGUGAGGGUCCACCCGUUCCCAUCCCGAACACGGAAGUUAAGCUCACUUGUGCCGAAAAUACUUGGCUGGAGACGGCCCGGGAAAACAGGUAAACGCCAACA